ACAGUAACAGGGCAGCAAAGUCCUCUGGGGAAUGUAGUAGUUCUUCUCUUCUGAGAACCAGGUACAUACACCUCAUGAUGUUAUGAUGUGGAACACCAAUAACCAGAAAUCAUAAAACCAUGACAGGAGGUCUUUGCAGGAGCCAGACUGAAGCGUCUCCCUCACUUUCCCCUCCGUAGUUCACCACCCAGAUUUAUCAAGUGGAUGCAUAAGGUGCAUACAGUGGGAUUAAAUUACUUUAAUUUUUUUUAAAUGUCAUGUUGUCUUGUGUACAAGGCUUGUAAUUAGCUGGAAAAAGAGUAUUUUUCUAAUAUAUUACAGGAAUAGCCAAAUAAUUUUUAUUAAAAAAAAAAUGAUUUAGCGCAGUGAGCUCUAACUAGCAUAGUACAAUCCGAAUACUUUGAGGCAGCUAGGGAUUGGCUUGUCAAAGCUGGCACUGCUGUUCCUGCCAUAAUUUCUUUCUGCAGUAAAUUGCCAGUGAGCGCAUGUCCUUUCCCUCCCUCUAUUGCACAUUGACAUCAGUCUUAAAAGAGAGGAUUUUUAAUUUUUUUUUUCUUUUUUUUUUUGCCAAAUAAAUAUAAAAGGAACGCUUGCCAUUUUUUCUUGGUGGAAUGUCCUGACAGUUCCUCUGAGAGUUAAUCACAGCUUUUUAGUAAACCAUGAACUAAGUAUGCAACGUGCUUAUACACUAUAGAGUUCGGUAGGCUUAAUUUGUAGCAGUUGCUGGGGAUUUUUUGGUUGGGAAAAAAAAAAAGAACGAUAAUGCAAAAGGGAUGGAGUGUUACACUCUCGGUGAUGUGUCUGGGUUUGCUGAAUGAAAUAUAAAUAUUUUGUGCCUAAUAGCAGUUGACAAAUCUCUCAAUGGUGUCUAGUAAACAUCAAGCCAGCCUCGAAAAAAAUUUUAUGGAACAACCUUUUCCUUUUAUUUCUGUUCUCGGAGUUGUUUCAUGUAAACAAACAUCUGUAAGAUCUUCUCUCUAUAAAGCACAACACUACAAAAAAGAUCUUACAGUUUUUUGUCCGGUCUUGAAGUGCCCCUAUUUAUUUAAGUAAAGUAGACAUACUCCAAGCCUUUCUGUAUGUCUGGAAAUAAAAAUAAAAAUAAUAAUUAAAAAAAUCCCUCCCUUUUUUUUUUUUUUUUUUUUUUUUUGUUUUUCCUCCCUUCUUCUUCCUCCCUCUUUUCCUGUUGGGUUUUUGUAAUACUUGUAGAUUUUGCGCGUGUGUUAUUUGGUUUGUGAAGGCAGUGGUGUAAGGGCACAAUGAUAGAAAUGGGUGUUUUUUGUAAAUAUUUCUCCUUACUUUCCACACUGCUGCUGAACAGUGUGUAGCGUUCUCCCAGUCAGCUUUGCAAUACUGACAUCAAUCAUUCGAGAGAAAUUAUUCAGAUUUUAUUUUUGUAUCUGUGGUAACAAAACAUUAACCGAAUUUUUUUUCUGUCAUGGAAAUGUUUUUUUUUUUCCAAGCUAUCGCUCACAUUAACAAAUUAAAGUGCCUGAAGCCUCAUCAUUAUUGUAUCUAUAUACUAAAAGUUAAAACCCUGUUGUAUUGAUUUUUAUAAGCCUUUUUACCUCUGUGUAAAAAAUAUAUAUACAAGUGUAUGAUGUACAUUUUAGUUCUUAACUUCUUUUUUUAUUGUUUCUAAUAUGUAUGAUCAGUGUAGCUAUUGCUUUAAAAUGUACCAUGUAAAUAUAAAUACAUCAUAUCAAAACAAUGCUGUUGGUGUGGGGGUGUUUUUCAGGUGUCCUGGGCAUUUUCGGGAGAGCACCCCGUGGGUCGGCCUACCCCGGCGGCCAUGACAGCGGCUGGGCCUGCCCUUGGGUGUCAGCCACCCUCUGCCCCCUCAGCCUGCUGCCCACAGACACCCAAGUAGCCUUUUUUGCCCCAUUUUGACCAGUAUGACUUGAUUCAGCUUUUUGGGGCAGUGGGUGCUGCUGCACUUAGUUUCUCCCUUCAUGCAUGACUUCCUCACAGGUCCUCCUCCCAUACACUGCUUUGGGCAUACAGCACAGGAGCAUUUUUCUUUAUUCUGUGGGAAAAGAGUGGAAGGAAGAGGCUGGUAGCCAUGGCACGUUUUCAGUCCUUUUUCCUCACACCUUGCCCCCAGGUGAGGAAUGGGGCUGUGACGCCAUGUUAGCUCCCAAAUCUGUUUGCAAAACAGUCUGGACAUUUCCAGGUGCUCUGGAGAGCCCUGUAGGGAUCAAGAAGCCCAGCUCGUGUCCAGCUGUCCACAGAGAUGCUCAUCGCUGGAGCUGCUUGAUGCAGGCUGGCAGGAGGCAGACAGCUGGGCAGCUCCCCUGGGCAGCUCCACCUGCUGGCACCGUGCUCAUUCUCAGGGGGCAUUUACACUGGAAGACAGAAGAGAAGAACUCAGUGAACUCGGCCCAGAGGACACCAAGCUGCACCUGAUCGACUCAGAAGCCAGGGAAAAACAGUAAGUGUACCUGAUUUUUUUACAACUGUUUCCAAUGGGAGGCCCAGCGCUCUGCCUGUGGCUUUCCAGUCACAUAAAUUACCUCAGUGAUUGAAUUUGUCACAGCUUUGCUGAGAUUUCAAGUCCGCUUCUGCUUUAUAUUUGUAUUUAUGUAUUUCUGUAGAUGUAUGAUACAAGUAGAAUAUGCAUAUUUGCUAUAAUUUUUUUUGCAAAGCAAGUUUUAGCCAUGCACCUAAACCUUGCAGCCCUCUGGAGAAACGUGCAGCAUGGGCCUGGUGUUUUGCAUAGGAGGACUUCCGUGGCACACAAAAUCCUGCAGUCUGACUUGGCAUUAGCUUCAUCUGCAGAUAAAUGGAGAGCAAAGUGACCCUGACAGCCUACUCCUACCAUUCCUUAUGCUAUCUUGACAAAUUUGGGCAGGAAGCCUUCAGCUCCUGUAGCAGAAAUGCUGAGUCAUGGCCUGAACCAGUGAUGGUGCACCUGGUGGGAAGGCAGGGCCAACCCAGGGGAGCUCAGCUGCAUGCAGUGCACCUGAGGGUUGGAGUCAUUAUCCACCCCUUCCCAGGCCUCGUUGAAGGGCUGGCAGUAGAGGUGAGAGUAUCUUGCUGGAGAUCCUUGUGUACCCGAAGACUUCUAAAGCUGAACCGGCUCAGGAGCAAGUGGACCUGCGUGCCUGGGAAGUGGCUGCUGCUACCAGAGAGCGAUUUUCUCAAGGCUGACCCAAGGCAUGGAACUGACUCCAGACGGGGUGAAGAUCUCCAUUUCCUUAUUCCUCUGAAAAGCAGGGCCUGAAUUUAAAAGGCUGCUUAACACUUUGAAGCCACCCACAGUUCUGUCUUUGCCUCCCACACAAACUCCAAGGAACUGACUCAUUCCCACCGUAUUUUCAGCUGCGCGUAGAUCCUGCUCUCAGCCAGGAAGAUCCCCAUGCAGCCAAGCGAAUGAAGUGCACAUUGUGACUUCAGUUAGCUGGGCUUGAAAGGGUUUCUCUACGCCGACUAACAGUCAACAGUGUCUGAAGGCAUCUGGCCCGCUCUAAAGUAGAGUAGGAACCAUAUUCUUUGGUUAGCUGUGUAAUUUAUGCCUUGUCUGCUGCUCCCUGCUCAUGAUGCUUCCUUAUGUUGACUGUUAAAUAGCUGUCUGUGAAAAUAAGUGAUGCUGUCAUCUGCUGUUAAAUGGAAAGAAGUCUGCUCUAUGAGCAUGCACUCACCUCUCUUCUCCCCCUCUCUGUGGCAAACAUGUUGCCUCUCUCUCUGUGGGGAUUCUGCUUUGGGUUUUGCAGUGCUUUAAGAACGUGAGCAACACGCACAGCUCUCGGUGGUUCCUAACUCCGAAAAAGCAGCAAGCCUUUCUUGCAAGGGGAGACACUGUGCU
This is a long non-coding RNA of Numida meleagris (helmeted guineafowl), 3805 nucleotides long. RefSeq lists it as uncharacterized. The transcript is spliced from 2 exons. Lineage: Eukaryota; Metazoa; Chordata; Aves; Galliformes; Numididae. The record is from RefSeq and is a predicted model, not a curated record.